RNAcentral lists this ribosomal RNA (644 nucleotides) under Salmonella enterica. RNAcentral describes it as "partial 23S ribosomal RNA". It matches the Rfam family "Bacterial large subunit ribosomal RNA", at positions 2287 to 2925 of the family's 2925-position model. The record is from RNAcentral. Lineage: Bacteria; Pseudomonadati; Pseudomonadota; Gammaproteobacteria; Enterobacterales; Enterobacteriaceae.
CUCCUAAAGAGUAACGGAGGAGCACGAAGGUUGGCUAAUCCUGGUCGGACAUCAGGAGGUUAGUGCAAUGGCAUAAGCCAGCUUGACUGCGAGCGUGACGGCGCAAGCAGGUGCGAAAGCAGGUCAUAGUGAUCCGGUGGUUCUGAAUGGAAGGGCCAUCGCUCAACGGAUAAAAGGUACUCCGGGGAUAACAGGCUGAUACCGCCCAAGAGUUCAUAUCGACGGCGGUGUUUGGCACCUCGAUGUCGGCUCAUCACAUCCUGGGGCUGAAGUAGGUCCCAAGGGUAUGGCUGUUCGCCAUUUAAAGUGGUACGCGAGCUGGGUUUAGAACGUCGUGAGACAGUUCGGUCCCUAUCUGCCGUGGGCGCUGGAGAACUGAGGGGGGCUGCUCCUAGUACGAGAGGACCGGAGUGGACGCAUCACUGGUGUUCGGGUUGUCAUGCCAAUGGCACUGCCCGGUAGCUAAAUGCGGAAGAGAUAAGUGCUGAAAGCAUCUAAGCACGAAACUUGCCCCGAGAUGAGUUCUCCCUGAGACUUUAGAUCUCCUGAAGGAACGUUGAAGACGACGACGUUGAUAGGCCGGGUGUGUAAGCGCAGCGAUGCGUUGAGCUAACCGGUACUAAUGAACCGUGAGGCUUAACCUU